CUCCCCCACUGUGUCCCCCUCCCAUUUUUUCCCCUCCUCGCUUUUCGCCUUCUAAUUUUGCUUCCAAACACGGUAUAAUAGAAGAAAAUAUUUUCGAGGCUUAACGCGUUUCCCCUCGCUCACGCUCAAAGCUUGAUGGCGUCGGAAUCAGAACCAAACCCACUAGAAGAAGAAGAACAACAACGAUACCAGCAAGACCAAGAAGCAGCCCUUGAGGCGCCUGCACAUCACCCUUCUGCCCCUCCCGAUGAGCUAUUUGACAUUUCAACUACAGUUGAUCCUAGUUAUAUUAUAUCUUUGAUACGAAAACUUAUUCCAACUGGUUUGGUGAAUGAUCACAACACUCAUGGAGUUGAUGCAAGCGAUGCCACUGGUGAUGGGUUGAGUGCUGAUUGCAUGGAAGAUUGUGGAGCCUUUCCAUCUAGAGAUCAAGUUCAAGACUCAUUCAACGAGUCUGAGAGUAUGAGCACAGUUGAUAGUUUGGAUAAAUCUGCUUGUCAAGAUGGAGACAAAAAGGAUUCAUCUUUUAGAUGUGAACAGCCUUGUGUGCCAACAGGAGAAGAGGCUUGGGAAGAGUAUGGAUGUGUUUUGUGGGAUCUUGCUGCGAGUAAAACUCAUGCAGAACUUAUGGUGGAAAACCUUAUACUUGAAGUGCUUUUGGCUCACCUUAUGUUUUCACAGUCAGUAAGAAUCACGGAGAUCUGCCUGGGCAUCAUUGGAAACCUUGCCUGUCAUGAAGUUCCAAUGAAGCAUAUAAUCUCUACUAAUGGACUGAUUGAGAUAAUUGUCGACCAGUUGUUUUUGGAUGACACUCAAUGCCUGUGUGAAGCUUGUCGGUUGUUAACUUCUGGUCUUCAAAGUGACAAGUGCAAUACUUGGGCUGAGGCAUUACAGCCUGAACAUAUUCUGGGGCGCAUUGUGUGGGUUGCAGAAAAUACCUUGAAUCCACAGCUUUUAGAAAAGAGUGUGGGAUUAUUAUUAGCUAUCCUUGAAAGUCAGCAGGAUGUUUCAUCUGUUCAUCUUCUGUCUCUGAUGAAACUGGGUUUGACAGGUCUAUUGAUAAAUCUAUUUGCUUCUGAAAUGAGCAUGUUAAAAGGGGAAAGAGUACCUGAAAGGUAUGCUGUUCUUGAUGUAAUUCUUCGUGCAAUUGAAGCUCUUUCAAAUUUAGAUGGCAAUUCCCUAGAAAUUUGUUUUAACAAGGAACUCUUUCAACUAGUUUGUGACCUGGUCAAACUCCCUGAUAAAGUAGAGAUUGCCAGCUCUUGUGCUACUGCUUCAGUUUUAAUUGCAAAUAUUCUGUCUGAUGUACCUGAUCUUGCUUUGGAGAUAUCACAUGGUAAGUUGUAUGUUUCUCAUUGUAUCAAGGCUCUAAUUGGACUGGAGGUGAUGCAUUGGAUAUUUCCAGAUUUGACUUUUUUACAGGGUUUGCUUGAUAUAUUUCCUCUUGUCUCGGAUGAUUUGGAAGCACGGAGUGCACUCUGGAGUAUUAUUGCAAGGUUACUGGUUUGUGUAAAAGAAAAUGACAUGGGCCUAUCAAAUCUGCAUCAGUAUGUGCUGGCUCUAGUAAGCAAAACUGACCUAAUUGAAGAUGAUCUUCUUGACCAGAAAUUAGAUAAUCCGAGUGAAGAAUCCAAGAGUUUGACCAGUUCCAAUAUAAAAUCAGAUACUAGAAGAACAGCUCUUCGAAGAAUAGUCAGUAUUUUAAAUCAGUGGACAGCAUCAAAGGACUCUCGCGAAGGGGAUGAUGUGAUGGAAGAAAAUUAUGCGAUUGAUGUAAAUAUUGGUAGACUGUUGGCUUGCUGUUGUAAACAUAUAAACAAAAUAUUAUAAAAAGAACUGCCUCCUGUGGCAUGCCCGGAGAAAUGGCAAAAUUGGAUGAAGCAUGCAGACUGACUGAUCAAUGUAUGGAUACUUUGGUAUUUGGAUGCCCAUCCUAAAUCAGAGCAUAAAGCCCCAGUACAUGGUAUGGCUUGGAGCAAAUUUUUAAAAAGUCAUUAGUAGAUUAGUGUUUGAUUUGAUUUAUAAGUUAAAAAAUAACAUAAAAUCAAUCAUGAGGAAGGUAUUUUUAUGAUAGCUUGAGUACAUGAUCUUUCAGUUGGAAUUCCAGCACCGUAUGACAAGUGUACCUCCAUAUCCAGUGCGUCAGGUAACAUGAAACAGAAAUACAAUUCUUGUACCAUUAAUAAACAGAAUGGCUCAUGUUUUUUGCCCCCUAAUCCACCAAAUCAAUUCAACCAAAUCAAUUGUAAUUGCACUGUUCUUUAUUGUAUAGUUAUGUAAUUGUCCGGACCACUGCCAAAUCUUUGAAGAAUAGUCAGAACGUUAUGCGAUUGAUGUAAAUAUUGGUAGAUUGUUGGAUUACUGUUGUGAACAUAUAAAAAACCAUAGUCCAUCAGUAUAGUGGGGAAAGAAGUGUAACAAGAGCCUAGGGGUCACAAGUUAGGAAUGUUGCUGCCUACACCGAUGAGCUGAGCGAAAUAGAGAAUCCUUUCUGGAAAGGCAUUAAUUGCACCUUCAAGCUCUGAUACAAAAGAAAAUGUCCAUAACAGGGUAAACUAACACAAGGACUUGAAGGAUCUUGCAGGUCGACUUCUAAAUUAGCACUUGUUAGGUUGGGAAAAACUAUGCACCAUUUUCAAUCAUUAGUUUUGUACUUUCUUGUGACUGGGAAGAAAAGAAACAGAGAACUUCUAAA
RNA transcript from Hevea brasiliensis (rubber tree), 2695 nucleotides. RefSeq lists it as uncharacterized. The record is from RefSeq and is a predicted model, not a curated record. The transcript has 12 exons. Lineage: Eukaryota; Viridiplantae; Streptophyta; Magnoliopsida; Malpighiales; Euphorbiaceae.